GAGSGCUGGCGGCAGGCCUAACACAUGCAAGUCGAACGGAUCCUUCGGGAUUAGUGGCAGACGGGUGAGUAACGCGUGGGAAGCUACCUUGUGGUAGGGAACAACAGUUGGAAACGACUGCUAAUACCCUAUGAGCCCUAUGGGGGAAAGAUUUAUCGCCAUGAGAUGUGCCCGCGUUAGAUUAGCUAGUUGGUAAGGUAAUGGCUUACCCAAGGCGACGAUCUAUAGCUGGUCUGAGAGGAUGAUCAGCCACACUGGGACUGAGACACGGCCCAGACUCCUACGGGAGGCAGCAGUGGGGAAUAUUGGACAAUGGGGGCAACCCUGAUCCAGCCAUGCCGCGUGAGUGAUGACGGCCUUAGGGUUGUAAAGCUCUUUCAGCAGUGAAGAUAAUGACAUUAACUGCAGAAGAAGCCCCGGCUAACUUCGUGCCAGCAGCCGCGGUAAUACGAAGGGGGCUAGCGUUGUUCGGAAUCACUGGGCGUAAAGCGUACGUAGGCGGACUGAUCAGUCAGGGGUGAAAUCCCGGGGCUCAACCCCGGAACUGCCUUUGAUACUGUCAGUCUUGAGAUCGAGAGAGGUGAGUGGAACUCCGAGUGUAGAGGUGAAAUUCGUAGAUAUUCGGAAGAACACCAGUGGCGAAGGCGGCUCACUGGCUCGAWACUGA
This 667-nucleotide ribosomal RNA is filed under the name Pseudovibrio sp. RNAcentral's name for it is "bacterial SSU rRNA". It matches the Rfam family "Bacterial small subunit ribosomal RNA", at positions 31 to 743 of the family's 1533-position model. The record is from RNAcentral. Lineage: Bacteria; Pseudomonadati; Pseudomonadota; Alphaproteobacteria; Hyphomicrobiales; Stappiaceae.